This 1969-nucleotide ribosomal RNA is filed under the name Physarum rigidum. RNAcentral's name for it is "SSU rRNA". It matches the Rfam family "Eukaryotic small subunit ribosomal RNA". Lineage: Eukaryota; Evosea; Eumycetozoa; Physariida; Physaraceae. The record is from RNAcentral.
GACUAAGCCAUGCAUGUCUCCGAAUAGAAGAGCAAGUCUCUCUGAAUCUGCGAACGGCUCCGCAUACCAGUUGUAAACCAUAGCGAGCAAGCCGCGUCGGCGUCGCAAGGCGUUCGGUGCGGCUCACAAGGAUAACCCUGGUAAUCCUGAGGCUAAUACAAGAACGUAGCACUCGUUUCGACCCGCAAGGGGAGAACGGGGACUGUGUGACCAGGCACGCAAUUUGAUCUGGGAGUGGCCACACGAUCAGACCGCUAUUCCAAACAGUCGCUUGCUCGAACGCCUUUCGGGGCUAGUACCGGCGGGCUUCUGGGCGGCUCUCGCUGUGUGCUUCUGACCUAUCAACUAGAUGGCAGCGUAAGGGACAUGCUAUGGUAACAACGGGUACAGAGGAUAAGGGUUCGAUCCUGGAGAGUGGGCCUGAGAGAUUGCUCACACUUCUAAGGAAGGCAGCAGGCGCGCAACGUUCCCAUUGGGCACAGCUCGAGGGCGUUAGGGGACAUAUGAAUGCCCAUCUUAAUGGUGGGUAAUUCAAAUGGGGCCGUUUUAAAUAUCCUAUCGAGUAACAAUUAGAGGACAAGUCUGGUGCCAGCACCCGCGGUAAUUCCAGCUCUAAUAGCAUACGUUAAAGUUGUUGCGGUUAAAACGCUCGUAGUCGGCUCCAGACCUUCACGAAGCCUGAAGCGGGACGCUGGGUCAGCUAAGUUCUUUUCUCCGAGGACGCGCCAGUUACUGCCGAGGGUGGACGUCGGUCAAGCGUGUCUCAAGCUGUUGCCCCUUUCGGGGGGUAUCACAGGGCUGAAUCACCGUCGUUGGCGGGGGGGGGUCCGCCCCUCUCCCUUUGAUGGAGGCUCGGCUCGGCUUGGGUCACCUAUCACCAUGAUUAAACUGUAGUGAUCAAAGCACGUCUUUCGAUGGGUGCAGCGUAGCAUGGUACGGGGCAACCCAGCUCACCUUAUUUUGCGGGGGAGAGACUGGGUAGAUGCAAUAGGGAUGUUCGAGGGUGACCGAAUUGCUGGGCGAGUGGUGAAAUACGUUGACCCUAGCAAGUCGACCAAUGGCGAAAGCAGUCAUCAAGGGCAUACCCGUUGAUCAAGAGCGAAAGUUAAGGGUUCGAAGACGAUCAGAUACCGUCGUAGUCUUAACUAUAAAUGAUGCAGACCAGGGAUAGGACAGUGUCCAUCUCGACUCCUCCUGGACCUCGGAGAAAUUCGAGUCUUUGGGUUCUGGGGGGAGUAUGGUCGCAAGGCUGAAACUUAAAGGAAUUGACGGAAGGGCACACAAAGAGUGGAACCUGCGGCUUAAUUUGACUCAACACGGGAAAACUCACCAGGUCCGGAUACACGUAUGAAGGUCAAGCUGAAUGACUUUACUCAAUGAUGUAAGUGGUGGUGCAUGGUCGUUCUUAGUUCGUGGAUUGAUUUGUCUGGUCUAUUCCGAUAACGAGCGAGACCCCAACGUUCCUAAUAGGGGUGGCAGCCAAGCCGGCCGCAAGGUUGGUUAGCUCGCCGCCUGAAGUUUUUACUUCUUAGACGUAUCAGAGCCGAUAAGGUUCUUGAAAUGGGUUAAUAACAGGUCAGUCAUGCCCUUAGAUGUUCUGGGCCGCACGCGCGUUACAAUGGCAUGAAAAAUGAGUGCUUGCAUAAGGCGUCCCCUGGGCCGAAAGGUCUGGGUAACCCUUAGUCCCUGCUUUGACUGGGACAGAUCAUUGCAAUUAUUGGUCUCAAACGAGGAAUUUUUAGUAAUCGUAGGUCAUUAACCUGCGUUGAAUGCGUCCCUGCCCUUUGUACACACCGCCCGUCGCUGCUACCGAUUGGGUUUCACAGUUACGCGUUCAGAGGAUGGUGCUCUCGGGUUUCACGACCUGGGGCGUCGACCGAAGUUCUUAAUUACUGUGCGGCCUAGAGGAAGCAGAAGUCGUAACAAGGUGGGCACAGCUCGAGGGCGUUAGGGGACAUAUGAAUGCCCA